RNAcentral lists this ribosomal RNA (292 nucleotides) under uncultured bacterium. RNAcentral describes it as "partial 16S ribosomal RNA". It matches the Rfam family "Bacterial small subunit ribosomal RNA", at positions 505 to 796 of the family's 1533-position model. The record is from RNAcentral.
GUGUCAGCAGCCGCGGUAACACGAACCGUACGAACGUUAUUCGGAAUUACUGGGCUUAAAGGGUUUGUAGGCGGCCUUGUAAGUCAGGUGUGAAAGCCCUCGGCUCAACCGAGGAACAGCGCUUGAUACUGCAAGGCUUGAGGGAGACAGGGGUAAGCGGAACUGAUGGUGGAGCGGUGAAAUGCGUUGAUAUCAUCAGGAACACCGGUGGCGAAAGCGGCUUACUGGGUCUCUUCUGACGCUGAGGAACGAAAGCUAGGGUAGCGAACGGGAUUAGAUACCCCCGUAGUCC